Molecule: long non-coding RNA, 410 nt
Filed under: Sorghum bicolor (sorghum)
Lineage: Eukaryota; Viridiplantae; Streptophyta; Magnoliopsida; Poales; Poaceae
Description: long non-coding RNA (SBIC_LNC000138)
Source: RNAcentral
ACGAGGAUUGAUCCAUGGUGAAUUGAGGAAGAUCAGGGUGCAUUUGGUCCAUAUGUAAAGUUUAGUUUAUAUAGGUAACUAAAAUUUAGAAAAUUGAAUUAAAUUUAUAGUCAUAUAAUACUGUUUCAAUAUAUGGACUACAGAGAUAGAUAACAACUAAAGUUGAAUUAUUACUUAUUAAACUAAUAAAGUUUAAUCUACCCGUUUGGAUGGCCUAAAAUAGGUUCUAGUUCUUUUUUUUUUCAUUUUGCAUAUAUGUUUGCUUUGUCGCCUUGUCCUUCUCUAUUGCCGUAAAUAUAAGCAGUAGUAUUUCUUUUGUAAUGCGACCAUCAUUCCAUUAACUUGAUGUUUUUGGUGUUAUUAGCAUAUACUCCCUCCAUCUAAAAAAUAAAUGUCAUUCGUGUCAGUCA